GGGUUGUGAGGUUAAGCGACUAAGCGUACACGGUGGAUGCCCUGGCAGUCAGAGGCGAUGAAGGACGUGCUAAUCUGCGAUAAGCGUCGGUAAGGUGAUAUGAACCGUUAUAACCGGCGAUUUCCGAAUGGGGAAACCCAGUGUGAUUCGUCACACUAUCAUUAACUGAAUCCAUAGGUUAAUGAGGCGAACCGGGGGAACUGAAACAUCUAAGUACCCCGAGGAAAAGAAAUCAACCGAGAUUCCCCCAGUAGCGGCGAGCGAACGGGGAGCAGCCCAGAGCCUGAAUCAGUGUGUGUGUUAGUGGAAGCGUCUGGAAAGGCGCGCGAUACAGGGUGACAGCCCCGUACACAAAAAUGCACAUGCUGUGAGCUCGAUGAGUAGGGCGGGACACGUGGUAUCCUGUCUGAAUAUGGGGGGACCAUCCUCCAAGGCUAAAUACUCCUGACUGACCGAUAGUGAACCAGUACCGUGAGGGAAAGGCGAAAAGAACCCCGGCGAGGGGAGUGAAAAAGAACCUGAAACCGUGUACGUACAAGCAGUGGGAGCACAGAGCAAUCUGUGUGACUGCGUACCUUUUGUAUAAUGGGUCAGCGACUUAUAUUCUGUAGCAAGGUUAACCGAAUAGGGGAGCCGAAGGGAAACCGAGUCUUAACUGGGCGUUAAGUUGCAGGGUAUAGACCCGAAACCCGGUGAUCUAGCCAUGGGCAGGUUGAAGGUUGGGUAACACUAACUGGAGGACCGAACCGACUAAUGUUGAAAAAUUAGCGGAUGACUUGUGGCUGGGGGUGAAAGGCCAAUCAAACCGGGAGAUAGCUGGUUCUCCCCGAAAGCUAUUUAGGUAGCGCCUCGUGAAUUCAUCUCCGGGGGUAGAGCACUGUUUCGGCAAGGGGGUCAUCCCGACUUACCAACCCGAUGCAAACUACGAAUACCGGAGAAUGUUAUCACGGGAGACACACGGCGGGUGCUAACGUCCGUCGUGAAGAGGGAAACAACCCAGACCGCCAGCUAAGGUCCCAAAGUCAUGGUUAAGUGGGAAACGAUGUGGGAAGGCCCAGACAGCCAGGAUGUUGGCUUAGAAGCAGCCAUCAUUUAAAGAAAGCGUAAUAGCUCACUGGUCGAGUCGGCCUGCGCGGAAGAUGUAACGGGGCUAAACCAUGCACCGAAGCUGCGGCAGCGACGCUUAUGCGUUGUUGGGUAGGGGAGCGUUCUGUAAGCCUGCGAAGGUGUGCUGUGAGGCAUGCUGGAGGUAUCAGAAGUGCGAAUGCUGACAUAAGUAACGAUAAAGCGGGUGAAAAGCCCGCUCGCCGGAAGACCAAGGGUUCCUGUCCAACGUUAAUCGGGGCAGGGUGAGUCGACCCCUAAGGCGAGGCCGAAAGGCGUAGUCGAUGGGAAACAGGUUAAUAUUCCUGUACUUGGUGUUACUGCGAAGGGGGGACGGAGAAGGCUAUGUUGGCCGGGCGACGGUUGUCCCGGUUUAAGCGUGUAGGCUGGUUUUCCAGGCAAAUCCGGAAAAUCAAGGCUGAGGCGUGAUGACGAGGCACUACGGUGCUGAAGCAACAAAUGCCCUGCUUCCAGGAAAAGCCUCUAAGCAUCAGGUAACAUCAAAUCGUACCCCAAACCGACACAGGUGGUCAGGUAGAGAAUACCAAGGCGCUUGAGAGAACUCGGGUGAAGGAACUAGGCAAAAUGGUGCCGUAACUUCGGGAGAAGGCACGCUGAUAUGUAGGUGAAGUCCCUCGCGGAUGGAGCUGAAAUCAGUCGAAGAUACCAGCUGGCUGCAACUGUUUAUUAAAAACACAGCACUGUGCAAACACGAAAGUGGACGUAUACGGUGUGACGCCUGCCCGGUGCCGGAAGGUUAAUUGAUGGGGUUAGCGCAAGCGAAGCUCUUGAUCGAAGCCCCGGUAAACGGCGGCCGUAACUAUAACGGUCCUAAGGUAGCGAAAUUCCUUGUCGGGUAAGUUCCGACCUGCACGAAUGGCGUAAUGAUGGCCAGGCUGUCUCCACCCGAGACUCAGUGAAAUUGAACUCGCUGUGAAGAUGCAGUGUACCCGCGGCAAGACGGAAAGACCCCGUGAACCUUUACUAUAGCUUGACACUGAACAUUGAGCCUUGAUGUGUAGGAUAGGUGGGAGGCUUUGAAGUGUGGACGCCAGUCUGCAUGGAGCCGACCUUGAAAUACCACCCUUUAAUGUUUGAUGUUCUAACGUUGACCCGUAAUCCGGGUUGCGGACAGUGUCUGGUGGGUAGUUUGACUGGGGCGGUCUCCUCCUAAAGAGUAACGGAGGAGCACGAAGGUUGGCUAAUCCUGGUCGGACAUCAGGAGGUUAGUGCAAUGGCAUAAGCCAGCUUGACUGCGAGCGUGACGGCGCGAGCAGGUGCGAAAGCAGGUCAUAGUGAUCCGGUGGUUCUGAAUGGAAGGGCCAUCGCUCAACGGAUAAAAGGUACUCCGGGGAUAACAGGCUGAUACCGCCCAAGAGUUCAUAUCGACGGCGGUGUUUGGCACCUCGAUGUCGGCUCAUCACAUCCUGGGGCUGAAGUAGGUCCCAAGGGUAUGGCUGUUCGCCAUUUAAAGUGGUACGCGAGCUGGGUUUAGAACGUCGUGAGACAGUUCGGUCCCUAUCUGCCGUGGGCGCUGGAGAACUGAGGGGGGCUGCUCCUAGUACGAGAGGACCGGAGUGGACGCAUCACUGGUGUUCGGGUUGUCAUGCCAAUGGCACUGCCCGGUAGCUAAAUGCGGAAGAGAUAAGUGCUGAAAGCAUCUAAGCACGAAACUUGCCCCGAGAUGAGUUCUCCCUGACUCCUUGAGAGUCCUGAAGGAACGUUGAAGACGACGACGUUGAUAGGCCGGGUGUGUAAGCGCAGCGAUGCGUUGAGCUAACCGGUACUAAUGAACCGUGAGGCUUAACCUUACAACGCCGAAGGUGUUU
This 2933-nucleotide ribosomal RNA is filed under the name Escherichia coli. Its description in RNAcentral is "bacterial LSU rRNA". It matches the Rfam family "Bacterial large subunit ribosomal RNA". The record is from RNAcentral. Lineage: Bacteria; Pseudomonadati; Pseudomonadota; Gammaproteobacteria; Enterobacterales; Enterobacteriaceae.